This 433-nucleotide unclassified non-coding RNA is filed under the name soil metagenome. RNAcentral describes it as "partial contains 5.8S ribosomal RNA, internal transcribed spacer 2, and large subunit ribosomal RNA". The stretch from base 1 to 120 matches the Rfam family "5.8S ribosomal RNA", at positions 35 to 154 of the family's 154-position model. The record is from RNAcentral.
GAUGAAGAACGUAGCGAAAUGCGAUACGUAAUGUGAAUUGCAGAAUUCAGUGAAUCAUCGAAUCUUUGAACGCAUAUUGCGCUCUCUGGUAUUCCGGAGAACAUGCUUGUUUGAGUAUCACUAAACACCUCAACUUCCAUAUCUUUUUUGAAAUGGGAGUUGGACUUGAGUGAUCCCAACGCUUUUCCUCACCGAAAAGUGGCGGGUUACUUGAAAUGCAGGUGCAGCUGGACUUUUCUCUGAGCUAUAAGCAUAUCUAUUUAGUCUGCCUAAAAAACAGAUUAUUACCUUUGCUGCAGCUAACAUAAAGGAGAUUAGUUCUUGUGCUGACUGAUGCAGGAUUCACAAAGACAGGCUUCGGCCGACUUUGUAAACUCGAUCUCAAAUCAAGUAAGACUACCCGCUGAACUUAAGCAUAUCAAUAAGCGGAGGA